GGAGACGGGACGCCGUUCGAGAAGAGGCGGAACUUUCAAAACCCCCGGGCGGAGAAAGGGCGUGGCGAGUGGUGCCUGGGCGCUGGCGUUGAACCGGCGGGAUGACUAGCAACCGAGCCUUUUUCGAGGUUCUUAGAGAUUAUUUUAACAGCACUGGCUUGACAGCUCAGUCAUGCAUAUCAAAAGAAGUUUAUGCACAAUUGAAGGACACCAGCUAAAAUUUGAACAAAUAAGAGAUUUGUAACUGGGGAUCCCCUGGAAGAAUCGUCUGGAAAUUACGACCUUCAUCUGGCAAUUGCAGCUGUUAAAGUCUCCAAAGAAGCCAUUCUUACAUUGUGUUGUGAAAUUAUUACUCUAUCUCAAAUCUGUGCCAGAAAGAAAAUAAAAUGUGUGUUUAUGUGUAUAUUAUAAGCUAUGU
RNAcentral lists this long non-coding RNA (418 nucleotides) under Gorilla gorilla gorilla (western lowland gorilla). RNAcentral describes it as "lncRNA (ENSGGOG00000044301.1)". The record is from RNAcentral. Lineage: Eukaryota; Metazoa; Chordata; Mammalia; Primates; Hominidae.